RNAcentral lists this ribosomal RNA (457 nucleotides) under uncultured bacterium. RNAcentral describes it as "bacterial SSU rRNA". It matches the Rfam family "Bacterial small subunit ribosomal RNA", at positions 340 to 786 of the family's 1533-position model. The record is from RNAcentral.
UACGGGAGGCAGCAGUGGGGAAUAUUGCACAAUGGGCGAAAGCCUGAUGCAGCUAUGCCGCGUGUAUGAAGAAGGCCUUAGGGUUGUAAAGUACUUUCAUCGGGGAGGAAAAAACAAAACUAAUAAUUUUAUUUCUUGACGUUACCCGAAAAAGAAGCACCGGCUAACUCCGUGCCAGCAGCCGCGGUAAUACGGAGGGUGCUAGCGUUAAUCAGAAUUACUGGGCGUAAAGAGCACGUAGGUGGUUUUUUUAAGUCAGAUGUGAAAUCCCUGGGCUUAACCCUAGGAACUGCAUUUUGAAACUGAAAUACUAGAGUAUCGUAGAGGGAGGUAGAAUUCUAGGUGUAGCGGUGAAAUGCGUAGAUAUCUGGAGGAAUACCUGUGGCGAAAGCGGCCUCCUAAACGAAUACUGACACUGAGGUGCGAAAGCGUGGGGAGCAAACAGGGAUUAGAUACC